GAUAUGCACCGAGCAGCUCCAGCCUGCCAUGGAGUCAUGUGGUCUGUGAGGCGUCUGGAGGAGGAGGAAGAGAGCAAUGUGGGCUGUGAAAGAGCCAAGGAAACCAGAGGCCAGGAAUCCUUACAGGGUAACUUUAUUGGUGCUGGGUUUCAGCCCAGGUCAAGGCCAAGACCAAUGUUUCUGGAAAGUUCUAUUCUUGUGCAGUUCUGGUCUCAGUGCUGCUCUCCCAGUCAAUGGUCGGGUUUGGUACUGACCAAUGCUGGUCAUCAGAGGAUAAAGCUGUCUGCUGAAGCUCAUACUUCCUUCCCACAAUGUCUUUGAAGAGCCGUUUAGCAUUGUGUGCUGACAUUUUAC
This is a long non-coding RNA of Alexandromys fortis (reed vole), 354 nucleotides long. RefSeq lists it as uncharacterized. The record is from RefSeq and is a predicted model, not a curated record. NCBI's taxonomy places the organism in Eukaryota, Metazoa, Chordata, Mammalia, Rodentia, Cricetidae. The transcript is spliced from 3 exons.